CGAGACACUUCGUGGGUCUCGGCGGCGUCCCGAUGUGAUUUUCGAGACUUCCGACGAGUUACGGAGAUCGGUUGUAAAAAAUUGAUUCCGUGGGAAAUUUUGGAGUUUUUAAGUGAGGUCUUUGAUUCAGUUGGUUUGGGUUCUGAUUCGGUGGACCUGUUAUAGGUCCAAUCGACGGUUCUGCACACCGCGGGAGCUAGGUGCAGCUGCGACACAUGCGGGUACUUCGAUCCGAAAUCGGUUUUGUGGUGCACGCUGGGUGAUG
RNAcentral lists this long non-coding RNA (265 nucleotides) under Ananas comosus (pineapple). RNAcentral's name for it is "long non-coding RNA (ACOM_LNC021439)". Lineage: Eukaryota; Viridiplantae; Streptophyta; Magnoliopsida; Poales; Bromeliaceae. The record is from RNAcentral.